GACGAACGCUGGCGGCGUGCCUAAUACAUGCAAGUUGAGCGAUGAAGAUUGGUGCUUGCACCAAUUUGAAGAGCAGCGAACGGGUGAGUAACGCGUGGGGAAUCUGCCUUUGAGCGGGGGACAACAUUUAGGAAACGAAUGCUAAUACCGCAUAACAACUUUAAACAUAAGUUUUAAGUUUGAAAGAUGCAAUUGCAUCACUCAAAGAUGAUCCCGCGUUGUAUUAGCUAGUUGGUGGGGUAACGGCCCACCAUGGCGACGAUCAGUAGCCGGUCUGAGAGGAUGAACGGCCAUAUUGGGACUGAGAUACGGCCCAG
Molecule: ribosomal RNA, 317 nt
Filed under: uncultured bacterium
Lineage: Bacteria
Description: bacterial SSU rRNA
Rfam family: Bacterial small subunit ribosomal RNA
Source: RNAcentral